Molecule: non-coding RNA, 1274 nt
Organism: Pelobates cultripes (western spadefoot toad)
Lineage: Eukaryota; Metazoa; Chordata; Amphibia; Anura; Pelobatidae
Source: the annotation of a GenBank genome assembly
CAGGCUAAUGCUGGGACAUUAAAAAUGCUUUAACGCUGAAUGGAACUAAGAUGUCAGGGGACUCCAUAUACUAUAACCACUUCAACGAGAUGAUACAGUUUACAGUACCUAGUGUCCCUAAAAAAAUUGCAUUUCUCCAAUGAAAAACUCUGCGAGGCAAGUACUCAGUUUACUCGGUUACCUUUAAAAAAUGUGCAAUAACAAGUAAGACUGUGAUACGCAUUCAAGCUUUAUCCACGCUCCCACUCCUCCUGCUCUACUAUAUUCCCUCCUCUCCCUUUCCCCUCGCUUCAAUUCCCCCCCAUCUGUACGCUACACCUCCCCCAAUGAACCACUCCUGAUAGAAACACUGAUUAUUUUCUGCUGACUCUGCUACAUGUCAGGCUGUAACCAGAGUAGGAAAGUUUCCAAGAAAAGGCUGCUCUGUGUUCCGAUGACAGCUGGAGAGGUGAUUUACAGUCGGGUCUCACCUUUAGGCAAAAAGCAAAGGAAUACUGAUUUUUUUUUAACUCUUUGCAGCCAGUCCAGCUGGAGAGCGCUGAACUAUCCAGUGACUGUGUAAUGUAAAUGCUCAGGCGGUUUAUCGGACCUUUUAGUAGUUUCUGUUCAGUCUCAUGGAUUUAGAAUCCAUUGUACAGAUUUUUUAUUUUUUUUUAUCAGAGGUUCAUCAUAAACCUCAUAAAUCCCUUGUACCCCCUCGCCAGCUGAAUUAUACUGACAUGUUUAAUGGGAUACAAGGUCAAUCUCACUGGAGAACAUCAUUUUUAACACUAGUGACAUGUUUAAUGGAUUUAAGCAUCUAAAAGCUUGGCUCACCCUUUGACACAAAAGGGACGACAAAGUAAGAAAAAUGAGUGUUAUAAUCAGCCAGCGUUAUAAGUGGUUAUAGUAUAAAAAAACUUUGAAAAUACAAUAAGAUUCCAUUAAACUCGUUCCAUCUGGAGACCUGUGACAUGGUCUCUAGAAAUCCCAGAGUUUGUUCCUUCUGCAUUUAACCUUGGCUUUUUAUUUACUAUUCUGGCUUCUGUGUUCUGCAACCUUUGGCUUGUCUUUACGUCCUGUUGCUUUUCUGUAUCCCUUUACCUCGGCUUGUAUUCUGACUAUUCUCGCUUUUGUGAUAACGUUAGGCCUGGCCACCUCUAAGGACCAAUAAUACAUCUUGGCUUUUUUUCCCUUUUCUAGAUUAGAGUGUGGGGAUCCCAACCCAUCCUGACAUUAUAUUGCAUUGAAAAUCCAAGAGUUUAUACAGACACCGUGCAGAGUCAUAAGAGUUG